Lutra lutra (Eurasian river otter) is the source of this 419-nucleotide long non-coding RNA. RefSeq lists it as uncharacterized. NCBI's taxonomy places the organism in Eukaryota, Metazoa, Chordata, Mammalia, Carnivora, Mustelidae. The record is from RefSeq and is a predicted model, not a curated record. The transcript has 4 exons.
GUGAAAUGUUGAGAAUCAUGGCUGGCAACACUUGACAAAGAUACGAAAAGUCAACGGAACAUCAUUAGAGAGGAUAUCGUUCAUGUACAUGCUGUUGACUGUGCUAAGCUCCACUUUCAAGUUUGUAUAUCAAAUGAGACAAUAACGAUGAAGGUCUUCUUUGGUAGAAAAAUACAUCGCCAGCUAAAUGGAAUUUGACCUUCCUAGAACUGUUUUGUAGUAGACUCAAGGAUCAUUAUUGAUGAAACCAGAAUCAAUCAGCAGUCUUCUCAUUUACUCACUUGCUUCCAAACAACAUAAAGAAAGAGCCAAGCAUCUGCCUUGUCUGGUGCGAAGAGGAUGGAGAAAUGAAAACUUCGAAAGUCAUAAUAAUUGCUACCAAUUACAGGGCUUCCACUCUGUAAAUUACCUUCGUUAAC